Molecule: ribosomal RNA, 323 nt
Filed under: Escherichia coli
Lineage: Bacteria; Pseudomonadati; Pseudomonadota; Gammaproteobacteria; Enterobacterales; Enterobacteriaceae
Also listed under: 1 other name
Description: bacterial SSU rRNA
Rfam family: Bacterial small subunit ribosomal RNA
Source: RNAcentral
GGUGAGUAAUGUCUGGGAAACUGCCUGAUGGAGGGGGAUAACUACUGGAAACGGUAGCUAAUACCGCAUAACGUCGCAAGACCAAAGAGGGGGACCUUCGGGCCUCUUGCCAUCGGAUGUGCCCAGAUGGGAUUAGCUAGUAGGUGGGGUAACGGCUCACCUAGGCGACGAUCCCUAGCUGGUCUGAGAGGAUGACCAGCCACACUGGAACUGAGACACGGUCCAGACUCCUACGGGAGGCAGCAGUGGGGAAUAUUGCACAAUGGGCGCAAGCCUGAUGCAGCCAUGCCGCGUGUAUGAAGAAGGCCUUCGGGUUGUAAAGU